UUAAACGGCCGCGGUAUCCUAACCGUGCAAAGGUAGCAUAAUCACUUGUCCCCUAAAUAGGGACUAGAAUGAACGGUUAAAUGAGGGCUUCACUGUCUCUUACAUUCGACCAAUAAACCUGAUCUUUCAGUCCAAAAGCUGAAAUAAACCCAUAAGACGAGAAGACCCUGUGGAGCUUCCAAACCAAGCCCACCACCCUAUGUCCCCUUGGUUUUUAGUUGGGGCGACUUUGGAGCACAAACAACCCUCCAACUACGGACCCUCCCCUCUAGAUGUACAUAUCAACAAAAAUUUUCCCCGACCCAGUAGCUAAAUUGUCUAUCUGACCAAUGGACCAAGUUACCCCAGGGAUAACAGCGCCAUCCUCUUCUAGAGUCCCUAUCGACAAGAGGGUUUACGACCUCGAUGUUGGAUCAGGACACCCCUAUAGUGCAGCCGCUAUAAAAGGUUCGUUUGUUCAACGAUUAAAGUCCUACGUGAUCU
Molecule: ribosomal RNA, 483 nt
Filed under: Meroles cuneirostris
Lineage: Eukaryota; Metazoa; Chordata; Lepidosauria; Squamata; Lacertidae
Description: partial 16S ribosomal RNA
Rfam family: Archaeal large subunit ribosomal RNA
Source: RNAcentral